RNAcentral lists this ribosomal RNA (496 nucleotides) under uncultured bacterium. Its description in RNAcentral is "partial 16S ribosomal RNA". It matches the Rfam family "Bacterial small subunit ribosomal RNA", at positions 28 to 507 of the family's 1533-position model. The record is from RNAcentral.
GAUGAACGCUGGCGGCGUGCCUAUACCUGCAAGUCGCGCGAACAGACGAGGAGCUUGCUCCUCUGACGUUAGCGGCGGACGGGUGAGUAACACGUGGAUAACCUACCUAUAAGACUGGGAUAACUUCGGGAAACCGGAGCUAAUACCGGAUAAUAUAUUGAACCGCAUGGUUCAAUAGUGAAAGACGGUUUUGCUGUCACUUAUAGAUGGAUCCGCGCCGCAUUAGCUAGUUGGUAAGGUAACGGCUUACCAAGGCGACGAUGCGUAGCCGACCUGAGAGGGUGAUCGGCCACACUGGAACUGAGACACGGUCCAGACUCCUACGGGAGGCAGCAGUAGGGAAUCUUCCGCAAUGGGCGAAAGCCUGACGGAGCAACGCCGCGUGAGUGAUGAAGGUCUUCGGAUCGUAAAACUCUGUUAUUAGGGAAGAACAAAUGUGUAAGUAACUAUGCACGUCUUGACGGUACCUAAUCAGAAAGCCACGGCUAACUACGUG